AAGCCGAUUUUGAUGAGAGUUUCACUGGAAGUUUGCCGGGAAAACUUUGUGACAAACUGAUUUCAACGCGGGCGAAGCCGCGGGCACAGCUAGUAAUAUAUAUAAACGCGAAAGGUCAUUCAUCACGAAAUCUCCGAAACUAUAACACCUACAAACUUGAAAUUUGGCAAGUAGGCUCCUUAUAGGACGUAGACAUCCGCUAAGAACGGAUUUUACGAAACUCAACCCCUAAGGGGGUAAAAUGGGGGUUGGAAGUUUGUAUGAGAGUCCCAUGUUUUUGACGUAAGAGACUUGAAAUUUAAAAUGUAAGCUCUAUAGAUAGAUGGUAACAAGGUGUUCAAAUAAUGAAUCUUUAGAAAUCAACUCCCUUUUGGGGUUAAAACGGGG
RNAcentral lists this unclassified non-coding RNA (387 nucleotides) under Melitaea cinxia (Glanville fritillary). Its description in RNAcentral is "misc RNA ENSMCXG00005019916.1". The record is from RNAcentral. Lineage: Eukaryota; Metazoa; Arthropoda; Insecta; Lepidoptera; Nymphalidae.